Long non-coding RNA from Poecilia latipinna (sailfin molly), 213 nucleotides. RefSeq lists it as uncharacterized. NCBI's taxonomy places the organism in Eukaryota, Metazoa, Chordata, Actinopteri, Cyprinodontiformes, Poeciliidae. The record is from RefSeq and is a predicted model, not a curated record. The transcript has 2 exons.
AUUUUAACUUAUUUACUUAUGUAUUUUUGAGAAAGCGAUAUAUUUGCUACAAUAUUUUUUUAAUUUUACAUUUAUUUCCACAGACUCCACAGAAUGGGAGUCACAUUUGUGUCAAUCAGACUCUUCAGGAACGUCCUGAUGUCCGUGAUGAGGACAGAGAUGCAACUGUGUCUGCAUCCAGGACCUACUGCCAGUCAUCUGGAUGUAGCUAAA